AUCAGCAGACCAGGGAGCUCAAACUCUAAUAAAAGUUUUGACCAGAGAGGUCAUUCCACGAUUUGGCAUACCAUCUCAAAUAGAAGCUACAAGGUGUGUGGGCAAAUUCAUGGGAAAUUGUGAGAACCAACUCUAGUCUCCCCUGUAAUAAAAAUAUAUGAGGAACAAACAGCAGCUAUAUCAGAUUACUUUUGGAUUUGCAAAGGAAGUGGGUUGAGAGCUAUAUUACCUAAAAAUUGGAAAGGAAUAUGCACUAGAGUGAGACUAGCACAAGAAGUGACUAUGUUAACAUGGAACCUGGAAGACUCUGAAAUCCUGGCUGCACCUAGAAAAACUGUGCAAAGCAAACAUAGAGUGAAAAGAGCAUAUCAGCCUGACCCUAAUAUAAUAAUAGAUGCAAUUGGUCAACCAAGAGGAAUACCGCAAGAAUUUAAGGCCAGAGAUUAAAUAAAAUCAGGCUUUGAGUCAAUAUUUGUAUGGAUAACACCCAACAAGAAUGCAGAAUGGAUCAACUACAUUUAUUAUAAUCAGCAGGGAUUUAUUAAUUACACUGAUGAAGCAUUGAAGGCCUUAGGUGACCAAUUAGCUGCAACCAGCAAAAUGACAUGGCAAAAUAGACAGGCCCUAGACUGGCUAUUAGCAGAAAAAGGUGGAGUUUGUGUAAUGUUUGGAGGUGACUGUUGUACUUAUAUCCCAAAUAAUAUAGCUCCUGAUGGAUCCUUCACCCUAGCCAUGAAAAAGCUGAAAAACCUAUGAAAGGAAGUGACUGCCAAUGCUGGGAGAGAUCAACAUGUUGGCAAAUGGUUUGACAAUCUAUUUGGAUCCUGGUAAGAAUGGCUCACUAAAGUAGGAAUAAUAAUGGCUGUAGCUAUUGCUAUUUCUGUGGUGUUGUGUUGUGUGUGCCUCUCCUCAGAUCAAUGAUGGCCAAUGUUGCAGCUAAGCAGAUGCUCAAUGUUUCAGUGAAGCCAUCUGGAGAUGAUAUAGGGCUCACCAUAGGCCCUGGACUGGAUGAGCUGGAUGAAUUCUAGUAAAACCAUAAUGUGCCUGUAUGAACUCUAAAAUCACUGAAAGUGCCACUGGAAGUCCAGAGACUUAAACAUCACAAAGACAGGAUCGACGAGCACCUCACUGCUUAGCAGCAAGAGCAAGACUCUACUGGUGGUUUAAAAACCCGUUGUCCGCUCCAACACCACCAGAUAGCGCUCCAGGCUACCGAAAAUGUCUGUGAGUUGCACUGGCACCGUGGGACGUAUCAGAUGCUGAUCUACUACUAUUGUCUAAUCACUGUAAUAUGUUAACCUACUGAAAAAAGUUGAAUCACUGAUGUAUUCUACAUAACGCAAGGCUACCUUGGCAUGCACAUGCUUUGUACAAGAAUUUGAUUAUUGUUACCCUCCAGAAAAGAACUUAGCUAGGGAGCGAUGAGAUCUUUUACUUCCUUCUAGUCAAAUGUGGAGGGAGAUGUUUGGUCUCGUUGUUUCUCCGGAGUGCAGUUCCAUAAGUAUAGGCAAUAUUAGAGGAAUGUGUGUCUUAUAUUGGUCACUUGAAAGAAAUGAUGGAGCUUGUUUUGUGAGGUUGCACUCUGGGAAAAGGGCGAUAGAAGGUGAGACUUUUUAUAAGUCUCAAAGGAGGGAAUAUAUAGUAGAUUUGUAUAUAUCAAAUGUAGAAAAAUACUAAUAUAGAAUAGCUUUGUGUGACCCAGGAGAGGGCAUAUGAGGUUACAAGAAGUGUGGACUUUGUGUGACCAAGGAGAGGGCAUAUGAGGACUAAAAGUGCUGAUGUUACAAGAAACGUUCAGUGCACUAAGCUGUAGCAGAAAUGUUGCAAGAAAUACUCUUGUGUCCUCAGCUGUAAGCACAGAACAAUGGUACUGAGUCAUGAGAAAGCUCUGGGAAAGUACAGCAAAUUAAAAGAUUGAUGCAACCAAUAAUCAAAAUAACUAUAUGUGCUCAGAUUGUGAUGUAUUAUUCAUUAAAUACUUUCAUGAUAAAUGCAUUUAAAAUGUUAUUUUUUAAAAUGGACUAAAAGCCAGGUUCCCACCAUUGAAAAGAGGUCAAUGGUGGAAAACAGAAUCCAUUGGAUACAAAAUAUAUUAAGAUGGCAUAGGCAUGAGGUAAUACUAGAUUACAAACUGUACAAGAACUAAGGGUUUUGACAGAGAGAGUCAGAUCUCAGCUGACAUCUCGGGUUUGUUGGUAUGUUCAAUAAACUCUAACAUUUGACACCUGGAA
This is a long non-coding RNA of Myxocyprinus asiaticus (Chinese sucker), 2231 nucleotides long. RefSeq lists it as uncharacterized. The record is from RefSeq and is a predicted model, not a curated record. The transcript is spliced from 2 exons. Lineage: Eukaryota; Metazoa; Chordata; Actinopteri; Cypriniformes; Catostomidae.